This 20387-nucleotide long non-coding RNA is filed under the name Vitis vinifera (wine grape). RNAcentral's name for it is "long non-coding RNA (VVIN_LNC001476)". Lineage: Eukaryota; Viridiplantae; Streptophyta; Magnoliopsida; Vitales; Vitaceae. The record is from RNAcentral.
CGGCCGUCUGGAGAUCGAGCUUGCGGAGGUUGAGAUGCCAGGCCUCAUGUCUUGCAGGACUGAGUUCGGACCCCAGCAGCCAUUCAAGGGUGCCAAGAUCACUGGCUCACUCCACAUGACCAUCCAGACUGCCGUCCUUAUCGAGACCCUCACCGCCCUUGGCGCCGAGGUCCGCUGGUGCUCCUGCAAUAUCUUCUCCACCCAGGACCACGCCGCCGCUGCCAUUGCCCGCGACAGCGCCGCCGUCUUCGCCUGGAAGGGCGAGACCCUACAGGAGUACUGGUGGUGCACGGAGCGGGCCCUCGACUGGGGUCCCGGUGGCGGCCCCGAUCUCAUCGUGGACGACGGCGGCGACGCUACCUUGUUGAUCCACGAGGGGGUCAAGGCUGAGGAGGAGUACGCCAAGAGCGGCAAGUUACCGGACCCCUCCUCCACCGACAAUGCUGAGUUUCAGAUCGUUUUGACCAUUAUUAGGGACGGAUUGAAGACAGAUCCGAAGAGAUAUCACAAGAUGAAGGGGAGAUUGGUUGGUGUUUCUGAGGAGACCACCACCGGUGUUAAGAGGCUUUACCAGAUGCAAGCUAACGGCACUUUGCUUUUCCCUGCUAUUAAUGUCAAUGACUCUGUCACCAAGAGCAAGGUAUUCUCCAGAUCUGUGAUAUUUGGGAAUUGUUUUCAACGAUUCAACCAAUUUGUUUGGUGGAUCUAGUUUGGAUUACUAGAAGAGUCGUAAUUUUGUGUUUUGUUUUGUUUUGUUUUUCUUAACAAUUUUCUGUUCUGGAUGCAAACAGUUCGACAAUUUGUAUGGAUGCCGCCAUUCACUCCCUGAUGGGCUGAUGAGAGCUACGGACGUGAUGAUUGCCGGAAAGGUUGCAGUUGUAUGCGGAUACGGAGAUGUGGGCAAGGGCUGCGCUGCUGCCCUGAAGCAAGCUGGAGCCCGGGUGAUCGUGACGGAGAUAGAUCCGAUCUGUGCUCUGCAGGCCCUGAUGGAGGGUAUCCCGGUUCAAACCAUUGAGGAUGUCGUCUCUGAAGCAGACAUCUUCGUGACCACCACCGGUAACAAGGACAUCAUCAUGGUUGACCACAUGAGGAAGAUGAAGAACAAUGCAAUUGUUUGCAACAUUGGCCACUUCGACAACGAGAUUGACAUGUUAGGGCUGGAGACAUACCCGGGUGUGAAGAGAAUCACCAUCAAGCCCCAAACUGAUAGGUGGGUGUUCCCUGAUACCAAUUCGGGCAUCAUAGUGUUGGCAGAGGGGCGACUCAUGAACUUGGGUUGCGCCACUGGCCACCCCAGCUUUGUGAUGUCAUGCUCGUUCACCAACCAGGUGAUUGCACAGCUGGAGCUGUGGAAGGAGAAGGCCAGUGGCAAGUAUGAGAAGAAGGUGUAUGUGUUGCCAAAGCAUCUCGACGAGAAGGUUGCUGCGCUUCACCUUGGGAAGCUUGGGGCCAAGCUCACCAAGCUUAGCAAGGACCAGGCUGACUACAUCAGUGUGCCCAUUGAGGGUCCUUACAAGCCUCCUCACUACAGGUACUGAGAGAGAAGACCCACAGAUAUGUGGAUGGGCUUGAUUUGCCUUCUUUUACAAUCUGAUUUAUGUUAGAAUUAUAGGUUUGAUUUUUGCAUUUUUUUUUUCCUGUCAUGGGGGUUGUUUGGGGUUUGGGAAGAAAAAGAAGAGAGAGAAAAAACCGAGAUCGGUGUCUUCCGUUGAAGAAGAUGAGCAGAUGUGGGGAUUCAAUAAGGAUUGUGAUUGAGGGCUGUGUGUGAGAGAGUAUUCUGGUUAAAAACCAAAAAAGAGAGAAAAAAAUAUUUUAUAUGUCAGUUGUUUUCACUUAUGCUUUUCGUUUAUUUCAAGAUGAAAUAAGUCAAUUACACAAAUUACACAAAAUUAUGAUCUGGUUUAUUUUUCCAACGAUUGCCUAAGAGGAUUCACUUUUAUUCUCAUAAUCUUUUUGGGUGAGUUUAGCAUUUUUGUGAAGAAUUUUAGCCUUGGAAAGCCUUGGCCUACAUAGUGGGUGUGAACAGGCAGGUCAUCCUAUCAUAAAACCCCUCACAUCUCUUCUCCCAUAACACUCAAAAAGUGAAGCAUCUCAUGCCGACACCGAGUCACCGACAGCCACUAUCUUGAUAACCAUGGGCCAAACUUCUCCCCAUUUCCGGCGACCAUAUCCACCAUAAAUGAACCCUUUUGGGUAAUUGGUAAAAAAGUAUUGUUAGAAUAGACAACUCACCAAACCUACUAUCAUAAAUAAAGCAUGUAACUCACAUUUUGUUUGCCCCAAUUGUUUUAUUUAAUUUAUGUAGUGUUUGGUUGUUUUAAAUUAUAUAUAUUUUUUUGGUUUGAAUGGGCAAUUCACCGAACGUAUCAUAAGCAUCCAUUGAUAGAACGCAUUUUUUUUGCCCCCAAUUAUUUUAUUUAAUUUAUGUAGUCUCUGGCUGUUUUCAAUUAUAUUUUAAUGGUUUGAUUUUUAAAUAGAUAAUAUAAAAAAAAACUCCAUUUUAUUUUAUAUAUAUAUAUUAAAUAGGUAAUUAUUAAGGAAAAUCAAUUUAUUAAUUAAAUCUUAAAGAUUUGAAAAUUAAGAAUACAAAAUUUAGGCUUGGUAACAGUUUUAAAAAACAAUUUUGAAAACUAAUUUUUUAUAAUAGUUUUUGAAAACUAUUUUUUGAUAUUUUGUAAAAUAAAAUUUUGUUUGAGAACCUAAAAUGUUUUUAAUAUUUAAAAAUAUUUUUUAUAUCUAUUAUUUUAUUUUUAAUCAUUUUAUAUUCUUGUAUAAUUAUUUUAUAAAACAAUAUUUAGAAAACAAGUGCAAAUAACAUAAAACAAUUAUGAAAACGUUAUAUUUUUUGUUUUUAAAAAAAAUAGAAAAUAAUAUUUAAUUAUUAAAAAUAAUGUAUUUUUUUGUUUUUCUGUUCUAAAAAAUAGAAAAAACUAUUAUCGAAGUCAAAUAACCCCUUAAAAUUCUAGCACUUACUCACAUUAUAUAAGGUUGAUCCCUACAUUGUGUGGGUAAGAGCUUUGACUCUGUUACACUUUUUGAGCAUGUAUAAAGUUUUACACGUUUGAAAUUGGCUUGAUUUGGUACAUUUAGGCUCAUUUAAUUGAUUUUGAUUCUUCAUUGUAUUUUUACCAUUUAAGAGAUACAUACAUUGUCGGUUUGUAAAGCGGAAAUCUGGGAUUUGAUUGGAAAUGUAAUUUUUGAAAUGGGUUACUUAAUAAGGACAAAGCCUAAAUUUGAUGGAUGAUCGACCAAUAUUUUAUUGGGCAAUGGGUUUCCUGGGUGUGGAGAUAUACGUCUUGAUGGUUUCAAAGACAUAGAUUAUAAUAUAGGCCAAGACCCUUACUAUAAUCGGCCUACCUACAACCUUGUUAUGAAUAAGCUACCUUGAUCCAUACCAUACCUACCUUGACACAGGUCCAGGAAAGUUACAUUGACAUCUAUUUUAUUGGUCAAGCAAGUGAUUAGCACAGGAAAUUACUUUUUUUCAGCAAAUUCUGGAGAAUUUUCAUCAGCCCUUGUCCCAUAAUUGGUCAUUUCGUGUUUCCCUUUUGUUUUGAAGUGGUUUUGGCUUGGCAAGUUUAUUUUUGUUAUCUAGUGCAAAUCAUCAGGCUGAAGUGGAUUUCGACCCACAUUGCAAUUGCUAGUUUCUUUAAAGAAGCAUGCAAAUCCAUGAAGUUACGAAGAUCUGUCUGGGGUGGAUUCUGGAGGCAAAUUUGGCAGCUCACCACCAUUGGAUGUCUUGAUUCUCUCAUCUUCUGACACCUUUGGCUCAGGACCCAGGGUUUAAAUACCCAUUUGAAGCUCUCUUCCCUCUCUUGUAAUCUUGGAGGAUAUGUUUGGGUUUCAAAAUGGUACGAAGCGAGGAAAAAAAAAAUGUUAAAAAGGAAAAUAGUUUUACCUCAUUUAGUUUUCCUGUAUAAAAAAAAUCAAAUAUAAUUUGGAAAUUUAUAUAUUUUUAAUUAUUUAAUUAAAAAACAUAUAAAAAUAAUUUAUUAAUGUUGUAAAAUUAUAAAAUGAAAGAAGAAGAAAACAAGAAAGAAAAAUUAGAAUGUAGGAAGAGAAUAGAAUGCAUGGGAAAACUCUCUUGAAUUUCAUUAGGGGUCUCUCCCUUUUAUAGAGAGUUACAAAAGAUAUUUAUGGAUGAUUAUUCACAAGUUACCAUAGUGAUACAGAAUCUCAUAUUUUAUAAUACUCCCCCUUGGAUGAUCAUAAGAAUAUGCCUCGUUAAAACUUUACUAGGAAAAACCCUAUGGGAAAAAACCCUAGUGAAGGAAAAAGAGUACAAUAUUUUUUUGGAUUACUGCAAUUGCAUCGUUAAAAACUUUGCCAAUAAAACCCAUUGGGACAAAACUUGGACAAAGGAAAAAAGAGUGCAGUAUAUCCAUAUUAUCAUUCUCCUCCUCAUGUAAACAUGAUUAUGAUUUUUUCAACAUUUCAAAUGGUAGAUCUCUCAAUCUUCGUAUUCCAAAGUCAUACCUUAACUUUUUCAAUGUGGUUAAAGGUAACUCAUUUGUAAAUAGAUAUGCUAGAUUAUUGCAUGACCGAAUCUAUUGAACAUCGAUCUCACCUUUCUUUUGGAGCUCAUGAGUAUAGAGGAAUUUAGGGAAGAUAUGCUUAGUUCUAUCACCUUUUAUGAAUCCUCCUUUAAUUUGUGCAAUACAAGCAUGUAACACGGUUGCAUUGCCUCUAAUAGAAGGUAGUCCACAUGUUUCUUGUAUAUGUUGGAUCAUUGACUUUAGUCAUACACAUUCACGACUUGCUUCAUGAAUUUCAAGAAUUUCUGAAUGAUUUGAUGAUGUGACCACCAUUGUUUGUUUGAUAGAUCUCCAUGAGAUAGUAGUACCAUUGUAAUUAAACACAUACCAUGUUUGUGACUUACCUUUAUAUGGAUCUGAAAGAUAUUAUGCAUCUGCAUAUCCAAGCAAUUGUUGCUUUGAUUCUCUUGAGUAAAAUGGACCUAUACCAGUAGUUCCACAAAGAUAACGAAAUAUAUGUUUGAUACCAUUCCAAUGUCUUCGAGUUGGAACAGAACUAUAUCUUGCUAAUAAAUUGAUAGAAAAGCAAUGUUUAGACGUAUACAAUUGGCAAGAUAUAUAAGUGCACUAAUAGCACUAAGAUAUGGUACUUCAGGACCAAGUAAUUCUUCAUCAUUUUUUGUAAGGACGAAAUGGGUCAUUUUUCACAUCAAGUGAUUGGACAACCAUUGGAGAACUUAAAUGAUGUGCUUUAUCUAUAUAAAAACGCUUCAAAAUUUUCUUAAUGUAUGUUGAUUGAUGCACUAAAACUCCAUUUGGAAAAUGUUUGAUCUGCAAACCGAGACAGAAUUUUGUUUUUCCAAGAUCUUUCAUCUCAAAUUCAUUUUUCAAGUAAUUUCUUGUUCUUGUGAGCUCUUCAGGAGUUCCAACAAGAUUUAAGUCAUCAACAUACACUGAAAUAAUUGCAAAUCCGGCUUUUGAUUUCUUAAUGAAGAUGCAUGGGCAUAUAAGAUUAUUCAUAUACCCUUCUUUUAGCAAGUAUUCACUAAGGUGAUUGUACCACAUGCAUCCGGAGUGCUUUAAUCCAUACAAGGAUCAUUGUAACUUGAUUGAGUACAUGUUACGAGGCUUUGUACAAUUUGCUUUAGGCAAUUUAAAUCCUUUAGGGAUUUUCAUGUAUAUAUCAUUAUCCAUGGAUCCAUAUAAAUAUGUUGUAAUAACAUUCAUGAGACGCAUAUCUAGUCCUUUUAGGAUUGCCAAGCUAAUUAAGAAAUGAUAUGUGAUUGCGUCCAUGACGGGAGAGAAUGUUUCCUCAUAGUCAAUACCAGGUUUCUGCGAGAAACCUUGUGCUACUAAUCGCAUUUUAUAUCUUACGAUCUCAUUAUUCUCAUUGCGUUUUCGUACAAAUACCCAUUUAUACCCAACAGGCUUUACAUCUUCAGGUGUUUGGACUACAGGUCUAAAAACUUCUCAUUUUGUUAAUGAGUUUAACUUUGCCUAUAUAACUUCUUUCCAUUUUGGCAAAUCAUUUCUAUGUCGGCAUUUUUCCACAUUUCGUGGUUCAAGAUCUUCAUCAUUUCUUAUGGAGGCCACUUGGAAAGUGAAAAUAAUAUUAUUUUGAUCCCAUUUUUCUCCCAUGUAUACAUAACUUACUGAGAUCUCAUAAUUUUCAGGUACCUGUGCCUCUUCAAGGGCUUCUUAUUCAAUAUGUGCCUCUUCAAGGGCUUCUUGUUCAAUAUAUGUGCCUUUUCAAGGGCUUCUUGUAUUAUUUGUGCCUUUUUUAGGGCUAUAGAUUUAUCAAUUUUAAACUGACCAGUUAUUUUUAUGGCCUCUUUUAGAGUGCCAAGUUUUUCUUGGGUUCUCCUCUUUCGGGGAGUUACAUCAUUUGAGCCGACAAGUCUACCACACUUCAGGCCUAUCUUAGAUUAAUUUGUUAACUAUCUUACAGGGACAUCAAUUUGUGCUGGAGUAUUUGCAACUAGAAUAUAAGACUUUGUCACUUUCUUUGUAUUAAUGAAUGCAUCUUGUAAUUGAUUUGCAAGAUUUUGCAAAUGAAUGAUCCUUUGAACUUUUAGUUCACAUUGAUUUGUAUGAGGAUCAAGAUAAGUCAAAGUCAAUGCAUUCCAAAUAAUUUCACACCGUUCUUGUGGAACUAGCUCUUCUCCCCUUAACGGCGAGAAAAUUGUCUCAUUAAAUGUCAUUCUACCUUUUAAGUGUAUAGGUAUACUAGUCACUAAUUAAAAACUUCUGGUUUUGUAAUGUAUAUCCAUAUGACCUUUUACCCCGGGGGACCAAGUUGGUCUUAAAAGAUUCUUUUGGAUCUAUCAUCAUAUAAAGUGUCAUUCACAUGAAAUCAAAUACUACUAGUGACAUAGUAUAAGCUCUUUUGGAGCCUUUAAUUAGGUUUCUAUCACCUGAUAUAAUAUUAACAUUGUUUGUCAUCAAUGUUGUGCAAUUAAUGAGACAAGAGUUUCAUCAAAGUAACAAGUCAUAAAACAUUGUCAUAAAGACUUCGUCUUUAUAGAGUUGAAUAAAUAUUAUCACAUAGAAAAAGUUAAAAUCAAUGGAAAAAUAUUAGUCAUCGAUGAUAACUUAACUUAAUAAGUUAUGUAAAAGCAAUGAGUGCAUAUAUAACAUAAUAAAAUAAAUAUGAAAAGAUAAUUUAAAGUUAUAUAUUUCGUAAGUAUCUCACACAUUUGAUUUUGUAAGUGUGGAGCAAUUUAUACAUGAAAUAACUAGGAAGUAUUUCAAUAAUCAAACUAAUUGUAGUGAUGGAUCAAGGUAUGAGAGAGAUCCAUGUAUCUUCAAGUAUAAAUAAAUAAAAGAAUUUAAAUGAUAAAUAAUAAAAUGUGAAAUAAACUAUAAAAGAUGAACAAUAAACAAUGUGUUCAAAUAUGAUAACAAAAUAAACCUAUUUGCAAAGAAUUAAAUAAAAACAUAACAUUUAAUCAUAAUAAACAUUUCCAUCACCAAUUAGAUGGUCAAUUUUCCCAUUAGGAUUCUCAAAGAAAUCCGAAACAUCUAAAUGGGUUAGAUCCACUUGGCCAUCACUAUCAACGAAGUUCAUUUCAACUUCCUUUCCUUUUAUUGAUGUUUGGUAAAGGUCGACCAAAUGUUUUGGAGUAUGACAAGUACGUGACCAAUGUCCCUUCAUACCACAUCAUAACACUUAUUCUCAUGGUUCUUAGGAGGUUUAUCUUGUAAACACUUCCCAUUUUCUUGUUUUACCUCAGUAUUAUUCCACUUCUGGUAGUGCAAUGAGGCUUUCCUUUUCUGAGAAUUUGGUGAAUUAUUACUAUAAGAACCAUGGUAUCAGAGAUUUCUUCCAUGACCACAACCACGUCCUUGUCAUCGUUCACGAGUCUGGGACAAUAUUGCAUUCAUUUCAGGGAAUGAUUUAGAUCUAGUUGGUCAACGAGGCUGGUGAUUUCUCAUCAAAAGCUCAUUUUUUGUUAAACCUUCAUGGAGAUGAUGACGAAGAAAAAUUAGUGUUUUUGCACAAUCCUGCAGGGAUGCUUGAUUUCCUUUGAUCAUAGCUCCAAGAUUCAUUGACAAUUUUGUUUUGAAUAACUUCUGGUUAUACAAGAGAAUUAGAAAUUGUAUGCAUAGCUAUGAAACUAUUGUUAAUAAAAUUUGUUUUCCAUAAUUCCUGUUGUGAAAAAUAAGUGAGUACAAAAUAAAAAAUUAAAAGUCAAUAUUUUUCAUAACUUUGAAUUAUGAUCAUUUUGUCAAAAACAAGAAAAUAUGAAAAUUUGGACAUAGUUUCAGGCUAUGAACUAUUUAUGUAUAACUUCUAGUUACACAAUAUAAUUAAAAGAAAUUAAAGAAAUUAAAAGUUAAUAUCUUUCAUAGCUUCAGGCCAUGAUUAUUUUGUCAGAACAAGAAAAUAUUUAAAUUUGUACAUAGCUUUAGGCUAUGAACUGUUUUUUUUUUUUAUAUAAAUUUGUAUAUAGCUUCAGGUUAUGAACUAUUCAUUGGGUAGAUUUGUGCAUAGCUUUGGGCAAUGAACUUUCAUUAUGUAGAUUUAUACAUAGCUUUAGGUUACGAACAUUUAUUUAUUUUAUAGCUUCUGGCUAUAAUAUUGUUUGGUAUAACUUCUAGUUAUAUCGUAUAAUUAAAAAUAAAUAAUUAGGGAUCAUAUACAUAACAUCUGGUCAUGUAUUUGUAAUUUUAUAAUUUUCCCCAUAACUUUUGGUUAUAGUGAUUGCACAUAUUUUUCAUAACUUCUGGUUAUGAAUUUACCCCAUAAUUUAUAAUUUACCUCAUAACUUCUGGUUAUAGGGAUUAUACAUAUUUAUGUAUUUAAAUAAACUAAAUGAAAAUCGAAAUAAAAGGGUAAUAAAAUAGAAAAUCAUGAUAUAAGUUUAUCACAUACCUUUUUGUGAGAAAGAAGAGAAAAAAGUCUUUUUAUUUCUCUGAAAAGGAGAAUGUCUUUCUUAUUUCUCUGAAUAGAGAAAAAUCUUUCUAUUUCUUUUGUAGAGACUAGUCGUGCUGAUAACGUAUUGUAAAAUUAUAAAGUGAAAGAAGAAGAAAACAAAAAAGAAAAUUUAGAAUGUAGGAAGAUAAUAAAAUGCAUGAGAAAACUCUCUUGAAUUUCAUUAGGGGUCUUUCCCUUUUAUAGAGAGUUACAAAAGAUAUUUAUGGAUGAUCAUCCAUAAGUUACCAUAGUGGUACAAAAUCUCAUAUUUUAUAACAAUUAAUUUUAUUUUCUUCUAUUUUUGCUUCAUAUUUUCUCUUAAUUUUUUUGGAGUGUCAAGGUUGCUUUACUAGUAGAGUGUGUUUGGUACGUGAUAGUGAGGAAUGAUGAUAAAUAUUUUGUUUCUAUUUAUAUUCCCUCUAAGAAUGAAUUUCAUUAUUUUAUUUUAAUUCUUGUGUUUGGAUGUAUAUAGGAAUAUAAUAUUGAAAUGUUAAUUUAUUUCCAUCCAAUGUUAAGUAAAAAUGAGAAUGAAAAUGAAAAUAAAAAUGAUCUAUAAUGUCCGCUCAUAUGGUUUAAAUUUUUUUUUUUUUUUUAAAAAAAAAUCUCACAUUGCACAUAAUUUGAAAUAAUUUUUUAUUUCCAAAAUAAUAAAAAUUUAUUUAUGUGUGUGGUUUAUUAAUAAGUUUAAUAAUUUUUUAAAAAUAAUUUAAAACUCAAAAAAUAUAUAAUGACUAUACAAAAUAAUAGAUAUAAUUAACGUUUUAAUUUCUUUAAUAAAUCUUAUAAUUUUUAAGAAUAAUUUGAAAUUGAAAAAAUAAUAAUUAAUUAAAGAUUAAAUAAAAUAAUUUAUAAUGUUUUUUUUUUGCAUAUAAUGAAAAUUUUGGCUCAUUUAUACCUUAAAAAAUAAAUUUUGUUUUUUGAGUUAUUAUUUAUUUAUUUAUAACAAAAUAAAUCAAUUAAUAUUAAUAUCUAUAUUUUUAUAAUAUUUAUAAAAAAAAAAUCUAAUUUAUGGUUUUAUUAUAAAUUCAUAUUUUAUUAAAAAAAUAUUUUAAAAAUUUAUUUGUAAUUAAAAAAUUAUUUUAAUUUUAAUAAGACGUGAAUUAAAUUUAGUUUACAUUAUAUAAAUUGAAUUUAUAAUUUUUUUUUUUACAAAAUAAGAAAUUAUUUUUAAAAACAACUUAUCUAAUAAAGUCUUUAAUUUUUUAUUUUUUGCAAUAUAUUUGUAAAAAUAACUUACAUUAGGAAAUCAAAAUACCUCUUAGUUAUGAUGAAUUGAAAUUCCACUUACAAGUGAGAUUUCAUUUCCAUUGGAAUCACUUUUGAUUAUAUUUCCAUCAUCAUUUAAGUUAUCCAAAUAUGAUAAUGAAGGAGGAAAUGAAUAAGAUACCCAUUCCUACUCCUCAUUUCUGCAUACCAAACACGCCCUCAUAGUUUUUUCAACCCAAUGUUAGCUUGUAAAAUGCUUAAGAAGGCACUUGGAAUGCUUGGAUUUUAAUGCCUUGGCUUGUCAUAUAUUGAUUUUGUAAAAUUAGGCUUGUAUUUGUGAGUUUGUUGUAGUGUCCCACAUUGCCCGGGGAGUGAAUGGGGAAAAGCCAUAUAGGGAGGGCUUUCACAACACAUUAUCAAGGCCUUUUCUUAAGGGCAUAUACUCAAUAAAGAAGCAAAAACGGGAUUGGAUGGUGGACCAUUUGUGCCCCACUACAGCUCAAACUAGACAAUAUUGGGUGGAGAGUGGGCCAUAACAGAAUGGUAUCCAUACUUGAUCUUUGGUUGGAAGUGGGCCAUUAAGGACACUAGGCUCAAAAGGAGGUGGCUUGUAGUGUCCCACAUCGUUCGGGAAGUGAAUAAGGAAGAACCCUAUAUGAAGGGUUUUCACAACACAUUAUGGAGACCUUUUCUUAAGGGUGUAGGCCCAAUAAAGAAGCAAAACCAGGGUUGACUGAUGGGCCAUGUGUGCACCACUACAGUCCUUAAUCGGAUAAUAUUAGGUGGAGAGUGGGGUCAUGAUAGAUGAGUGUUUAAACAUUUUGAUUUGCAAAAGCAACCUUAUUUGGUAAUCUAUCUAUUUGAUUGAAUGGCUAUGAGAUUCAAAGUCACAUCUUCCAACUUUUUCGCUCUUAUUGUAGUGCAUUUGUUGUGUAUCUUGAGUCAGUGCAAAGAUCUAUUGAGGGAUCUCUAAGAACAUGCCCUAUUACUAGCAUUUCUACAUAACUUUGUAUGAAGUUUUCACUCAUCCAAAUCUUCCUUUGUUUUUGGAAAAAUAGUUAUCACCAUUCUUAAAAAAUCCCAUCUAAACUAUUUGAAUUAAUCUCUUAACCUCUUAUAGGUAGCUUAAGUUCUCUUUCUUGCAUAGUUCGACACUUAUCUCACUAGGAUUUUUGUUACUCAAUUGAAAUUAACAACCCUAUACUUAGGAAUAAGUGAACACCAACACAAUAUCUGGGCUCAAGUAUUUUAAAGAAAGGCUAAUACGCUACCUUAAUUUCUAGUGUAAUUCUAGAAUCAUUUAUGUUCUUGUAUUCGGUGCUAUUAAUACAAACUAGACAUGGGCAAUGAUCUUGUGAAUGUAUGUGAGAAGAGAAAAUUUGACUUCGGAAUGAAAUGGUCGUAAAUAAAAAGUAGGAAGAUGAAAUAAGAGAUUGUUGCUCCAAGGUUAUGUAGAGACUUCAAUUAAAUAGCUAAGGAAGAAAAAAGAUAUUUGUGGAAGAUCAUUUAAGUCAAAUUCUUUGAUGAAAUCCUUGAAUUCGAGGAUAUCAGACAUCUAAAAUUAGUGAUUUUGAUCCAUUCUUUUCUCUUUGAUACUAUUAAUGAUUUAGAAAAGUGCAAGAUCAUUCAUUGAUAAUUAAUUAUGAAAUAUAAAACAGGUUUUAUAGUAUGCAAAUUAUCAUAAUGAAACUUUAGAAUAUAAGAUGAUUCAAAAACAAAAACAUUUUAGAAUUAAAGUGAAACAUGAAAUCAUUUGCACACAAAGAAAGAAGAUGAAUGCUUCAAAUGAAAUCAAAGUAGAGCACCCUACAAUAGAUGUCUAAGUAGACAAAAACUAUCAAACCAAAAAGCCAUUCCCAACGAUCUUACAAAACUCCAAAAGAAUGUGGUUUUCAUGGGUCAUUUAAAGCCUUCCAUUCUGGUAAUUUACUAGAUAAAUUGUUGUAAGCUACAACAAAGACUGCCAAGUUGUUUUGCUCUAUAAGUUGUGGAAGAAUGAGACCAAUUAACCUAAUGUUGGACAGAUCCAAACUUUUUAUAUCCUUUAAGAUUGAAAAAGUCAUUGAGAUGGAUCCAGUUAAAAGUGGUUAUAGAAUAAGUUUAGUUUAUGUACUACCUCACUAAGAUAUGCAAUUUCAAGAGGAAUUAUUCUUACGAAGUUGUUACUUGAGAGGCCCAUUCUAGACAUGAAGUACAAAAUGCCUCAUCUACUAGAUUCAGACCUACUUUUUGUUAUGAAAUCCACUACUUCAACUCCAUAAACAAUGUGCACAAAAUUUUACUUCCAAAUGAGUAUGGUUGUUGAGAUAAAGCCAAUACUAACAUAUUCAAUUAUACCAAACACAUCUUUCGUUGCUUAUUUCCUUCCAAGUGCUAUAUUUAAGCAAGUAGGUAUUGGACCAGAGAAAUUAUUGUGAGAAAGAUCCAUUAUGCUUAUUGAUUUUAGCUUAGUAGGAAUUAAAUCUUCAAGUUCAGUUUGUCUCAAGAGAAAAAGCCUCAUAUUUGAGAUGAAACUAAUCUGAGGAUUUUUUCCUGAAAAUUUAUCAUCCUUGAAAUCCAAUGUCAUGAGAGAGGGACUUCUUGAUAACAUAUGGUAGAGGUCCUCUGAUUCCAUGCCCAGCUGGUGUUCCUUGAUUUUGGUCCUCAGACAGGAGUAAUCAACAAAAUUUAUAACCUAUAUCACCAUGUACUAGGAUAGCCUCAGCUAGCAUAGCAUAGUGGCUCUAGGAUCGUUCACUGGGAAGGGUUUUCAACUUACAACUGAUAAUAAUUCAAAGUUGAAUUGAUGUUUUUUCAUUUCAAGGUUAGCUUCAAAAGAAAACAUAAACUUUGGUUUAAAAAGGAUUGGUUUUAAGCUAACUAAAAAUAAAGUAACGGAAAUUACUUAUAAAGAAAAGUGUUUCUUGGAGUUUUACGAUCACUGGGGUCAGGCUCCUAAUAUAAAAACAGAGUUCCGGUCACUUGAACUUUUCCUCGCAUUAGAGAAUUAACAUAUAGUUAUUUCUCUAACCGGUGUGGUAUAGAUGAUUCCCUUUUAUGGAUUCAAACACUAACUUUCUCUCACUGAUUCAUCUUGCAAUGACUCGUGCCUCUCACCUAGCAUUUUCCAUUCAAGGUGAUCCUUAACCUUGGAUUUCCCUUCACAAGCUCGCAAGAGAUAACUAAUGGAUGUCUCCUUAAAGUCCAAAAGCUUACCAAGUGUUGGCUAUUCUAGAAAAUCUUACCUUCAAACCACCUCCCAAAGGCUCGCAAGAGAUAAACUAGUGCAUCUCAAUGGACGGAGAUCACUUGCCUUACCAAGUGUUGGGCCAGGUGAUUUAAAGGCGUUUUAAGUUAACUAAAAACAUAGAAACCAUUAACGGGUUACACUUUCUCUUCAUUAAAAGCUGAAACAACAAAACUUUCAAUUCUUGCAUUCGGCACCUUACCCAGUUUCCUUAACUCCAAGAGACAAAAAGUCUAGCCACUCAUUCUCUGAGGAAACAUCCUCAGAGCUUGUUUGGCUAGUAAGAAAAAUACAAUCAAAAUGAGUAGGUAAGGUAGAGCAAAGCUCUGUAUAUUACUUCCUUCAAAACUAUACAAAAAGUUGUCUCUGAGAACAAGCUCCUGAGAUGUCUGUGUAAAGAAAAUUACAAACUAUAUAUAUGAGGUUAUUCACCCUUUGUUGUUACUUAUUAACUAAGGAAUCCUAUGAUUGGUGGAUUACAAGGAGAGAAUGGGGAUUUAAACAACAAAUAUCUAAAGAAAAAAAAUCUAAAAGAGUCGGUCACAAAUAUCUGGAAGCACUUAGGUGGAUUUCACAGGCAUACAAGAUAGGCUGCGAAAUUUCGCAAGCUGAAAGUCUCCAUUUCGCAGCCAAAGGUUGAUUUCACAGCUAGCACCUUGUGAUUUCGCAGUUGCGAAAUUGGCCUUCAGCUUAGUGUGAUUGGCUUCCAACGGCUAUAACUUCUUCAUUUCAACUUUGAUUUAUGCACCGUUUGAAGUGUUGGAUUUAUGACUUCCCGAACUUCAAAAUGAAAUAUAGUAGGCAUGAAAUAGACUCCAAAAAGUGCUCUAAUACUUAACACAAUUUGAUUGGAAACGAUUGCAAAGGUACUUAAUAUGCCAAUAGAGCUAAAAGGUAAUAACUACUACUCAAAAGUGUUUAAAAGAGUUAAUUACAAGCUACAAAAUAACACUUUUUAAGUAGUAAUCAUCCUCUAAAUUCAUUAAAAACCUCACCAUUGAUAGAUUGACAUAAGGUGGUAUACUCGAUCCAUGUUUGUUCUAUAAAAGAUUUAAAAAGUGAAGUUUGUUGAGCUUGAAAAAGCCUGCUGGUAUUGGCCCUUCCAAAUUAUUUGUGGACAAAACAAGUGAAGUUAACUUAGGCAAGUCUCCAACUCUAUCAAGGAUUUGACCAGACAGUAAGUUACUGCUUAUAUCCAAAUCUUAGGAAAGAAUUAUUUAAACCAAAAUCUCUCAAACCAAGCUAUUAUUUUUUAAAUAUAAAAAACAAAGUUGUCUCAAGUUUGACUCUAUAAGAAGAGUUCCAUACAAAUUAUUGUUUGAUGACUCCAAAAAUCUCAAUGACACAACCCAUGAGCAAGUUCUUAGGUAGUAGUCAUGAGAAAUUGGUAUUGGAUAAGACAAAAUUGUUGGGAUUAAGCCCCUUAAAGCAAGACAUGAGAUGACAAAGUUAGACUUACCUGUCCCCUUGUAAUCCAUUUGGUGUAUUGGCAUUGAUUUGAGCAUUCAACCUAUGUCUCUUACAUUGUACAUGACUUGAGUACAUUAGGAGUUACAUAAAAGAUACAAGCAAUGGGUUCCUUAUAAGUAGAUAAGUUGUCCAUAGUCAGUUCAUGGAUUUAGGCAAUUCAGUAGUGACUGUAGUGAACCGUCUCCUAAUUGGAGGGAUGACUUGUCUUGACCAUCAGGAUGGGUUUUCCAUGGUGAGUAUACCAAUGUAAGUGAUGCAUAUUAGACAUGACCUACGAUGAAUCAUGAUGCAAGGCUUUCAAUUGUUAUGAUUCACUAAACUACUUUACUACAUGGAUUCUCAAGUUUAAAAGGACAUUGAGUCUAUGUCAAAAUCAAAAGGAGGCUUUAAACUAUGGGUGAGACCCUAAAGUGGUUAUAUAUCCAUAUGGAUUGAGUCAUUAUUGAUAGAGACUAGUGACAAUAGGUAUUCUUAAUAAAGGCACCAUGAUAUCUCAUAGGAUUGAGACAAUGUGUCUCAUUGGGUAAUCCAAAUGACAUGUGAUCAUAAAAUAUGUGGCCAUAGUAAUUCCCUUAGUGAAAUUUGACAUAUACUCAUUGGAGUUAAAGUAUCUCAGUUGAUCACAUAAUAAGUGAGAUCUGUAACUCAAGGAUUUGAGAGGCAACCAUGAUAGGUGAUAACAAUACCUUGUUAUAUUAUGAACACCAGUUCAUGGGGAGUCUGGAUGCAAUAUAUAGUAGGUUAUGGACUUGAGCACUUUGUCACAGACUUAGUCUUUUCUUAAGCUCGUGUGACACUUAGACAAGCCAAGACCCUUGAUCUUGCUAAGUCAACCUUACUCCCAAUGCUUAGCUUGCUAGGUUAAGACGCUUGCGACUCAAAAGAUUUAGAAGGUGUAGUAGGCAACUCUUAAAGAAUGAAAGCUUUAUUGCUUUCAAAGGAAGCUAUAAAAAGCUUAGAAGCUCACUUGCUUGGUUAGGAAGUGAUUUGGGUGGUGCCUUGGCCAAAUGAGGCCCUCACCUAUUUAUAGGCACCAAUGGAACUCUCUGGAACCUUGGAGGGUUUCUUACAAAUCAAGAAAAUUCUAGAAUACCUUGCACAAUUCUAUGUACAACCCUAUGUACAAGAGAUCUCUAGAAUUCUCUAGAAAGCCUUGGACUCCUCUCAUGCCUUCCACCAUAGUGUAAAGAUGUGUAGACAUCUCUAGGCAUCUCUAGAAUCUUCCACACUUUUCCCUCCAAUGGCUUAGUGUAGAUGGCUCCAAGAGUCUCCAGAAGCUUCUUGGGAUCUAUAUAAACCCAUGAGGAGGCUCAUUUGAAGCAUCCUGUGACACUCUCCCCCACCUAUGCCGUCGACAUCCUCGUCGUUGCCUUUUUUUGAAACCUUUCGAUGUGUUUCCAGAACCUUCUCAAGGCAUCCGCAUGUUCCCAACUUACCUGCCUCCUAGGUAGUCAUUUCCAUCGGACUAGAUACUUUAUCACAAGAGGGACCCUUUGUCUCCUGGUGACCUAUUCAGCCAGGAUAUUUUUCACUUCUUUUUCUUGUGAGGCCUUGGAUGGAUGCAGAUCCCUGCACUUUCGAUGCUUGGAGUGCUGCUUUCUCUUACCCAUCAAGUUCACCUUUGCCUUGGUCACCUUGUCAAUGUAUGUGUGGGCUACCUUAGCUUACUCCCCUUUUCUCUCAUUUAUUUGCACCCUUGAUAGUAAGGAGGUCUUAGGUGUACUAGGAUUUGGGUUGAAUUGGAGGGCACCUAGUAGUUGCAUCGAGCCCAUAUGUGCUUUGUCUUCCUGUUCCAUCUCCUCGAUCAUGGCAUUGAGCACCUUCCUCUUUGGAUAAUGUCGUGCCCAAUGUGGACUAUCACAUAGGAAGCAUUUGAUUUUAGGCGUAAACUCCUUCCUUUUUGCUUUACCCCUUCCUUCUUGGACAUUAGGCGUCUUGCCUGAUCCCAUUCUAGGAGCAUUGUGGUCUCUUGAGACCUCGUCUCCCCUACUUGUGGCGUGGCUAUCCUCCAAAGACUCAACCUUGGAUAAGUCUCCCCUCUUGUAAUCCGUUAAAGACUCUGCUACUGCCAUAGCAGUGGUUAAGUCCUGAAUGCCUCGACGCCUUAAUUCCUACUCGGCCCACCCUUGCAGGUUAUCCAUGAAGUUGAAUAGCAACUCAUCCUCAGUCAUGUUAGGAAUCUCAAGCAUGAGUGAAGAGAAUUCCUUGACAUAGUCGCGUAUCAAGCUUGUGUGCUUGAGACGUUUCAUGUUUUUCCUAGCCAAGUAGCAGCCUUGUAGAUGGCCAACUCCUGCCUAACCUCCUAGUCUUGGGACUCCAUUCGAGUGGCCAAAGCCUCUAUCCUUGACUCCAUGCUAGCAAGCAUGCUCAAGACCUUUUCUUGGAAGGACACAAACUCCUCGUGCGACACUAGCUGAACCUGUGAGACUAGCACCCUCUCACGAAGGUCUUGGAUUUGCUCCCUUAGAUCCUCUAAACCCUUCUCCAUGCCUUGCUCAAUCAAGUCCAACCCCUCCCAAGUGUCCGCCAUGGCUAGCUCACUUUGGCUAACCUUGCCUCCAUGUUAGCAACGACAUCAUGAGAUUUAUCCUUCUUGCCCCUGCCCCAUGCAGUAGGCUCAGUCUCUCUCUUCUCCUCCAUGUUAGAGUCCGACAUGCUUCUUUUACUAUGCCCGCUUCGUAGCCAUGCUCUGAUACCACUUGUCACGGACUUAGUCUUUUCCUAAGAUUGUGUGGCAUUUAGACAAGCCAAGACCUUUGAUCUUGCUAAGUCAGCCUUACUCCAAAUGCUUAGCUUGCUAGGCUAAGACGCUUGCGACUCGGAAGCUUUAGAAGGCGUAGUAGGCAACUCUUAAAGAAUGGAAGCUUUAUUGCUUUCAAAGGAAGCUAUACAAUGCAUAGAAUCUCACUUGCUUGGUUAGGAAGUGAUUUGGGUGGUGCCUUGACCAAAUGAGGCCCUCACCUAUUUAUAGGCACCAAUGGAACUCUCUGGAACCUUGGAGGGUUCCUUACAAAUCAAGAAGAUUCUAGAAUACCCUACACAAUUCUAUGUACAACCCUAUGUACAAGAGAUCUCUAGAAUUCUCUAGAAAGCCUUGGACUCCUCUCAUGCCUUCCAUCAUAGUGUAGAGAUGUGUGGACAUCUCUAGGCGUCUCUAGAACCUUCCACACUCUUCCCUCCAAUGGCUUAGUGUAGAUGGAUCCAGGAAUCUCUAGAAGCUUCCUAGGCUCUAUAUAAACCCAUGAGAAGGCUCAUUUGAAGCAUCAUGUGACAACUUGGUGUCUUAUUCUAAUAUACAUAGGGUAUUGGAGUAUAGUUGACUCUUUAUAGUGAGAUGUUGAGUCAAUUUCAGAAUUGAAUUCUAUGGGAGAUAAUACUCCUAUAGAUACCAAUGGUUCCUACUCUGAGCUCAUAUUCCUUGAUGACACGGUUUAUGAGGGUUUGGUGGUUUUUAGUUCACUUUUGUGGAUAAGGGCAUUUUGGUAAUUACACAAGGUUGCAUAAGGAUAAGUGAGUGGUACCUCUAGACUGGACUAAUUGAUUAAUUAGGGUCUUAUAUGAUUAAUUAAUUGAUUAGCAAUCUUUUUUAGGUUAGAUUAAGUGACCUAAGCCCAUAGUGGGCUUAAGUGACUUAAGCCUAGUAGGAAGCCUAUAAAUACCCCUUUAAGGGUUAGAAUUUCCAUGUCUUGCCAUUUUCUCCCUACAAUUUAAAGAGAGAACCCUGACCUUCACCUUUGAAAUCUCAACUAUCUCAAUGCCUAGACAUAAGGAAAAGUCAUCGGGUGGAAGAUCAUGAUGUUUAUGAGAUUCAUUAUGACUUUAAAGUUAUCUACAUCAAUUGGAAUCGAUCCGAGAACAUCUGAAUUAAAGGUAUGUGACUUUAUUCUUUAGAUCUUGGAUUUCUAUGACAUCAAUAUUGAUUUUUGAAUAUCUAGUUUUUCGCUAUGAUAGAUUUAGAGAGCUUAAGAUAGAUUUUCAUGCAUCUUAUGAUAUUUAAUGCCUAAGAACGGGGUAAUCUGGGGUUCCCUACGAAAAUUUCCAAUUUUUUCAUAUUGCCCACCAGGAAUUUUAACUUGCAAUGAAUUCCCAAACAAGUUGAAGACAACCAAGUUUGGAAAGGCAAGGCUUACUUGAGGUGGAAGAUCAUGUCCAACAAAAUCAUGUAAAAAUUGCUUGAAUCAGAGACUAAAUCACAAACAGCUAUUAAGAUAUUACCUCUAAUUAAAAUUUAGGAAUUCAAAAUUUAUAUUUUCACCAAUGACCACAUUAGAACAUCGCUGGUCAUGCCAUUAUGAUUGAGGUCAACCCCUUUCAAUUCAUAUUGAUUAAUAGAAAACUGUGUAUAACAUUACAAUGGUUAUUUGAUGAUAAGGGUAGGUUAGCUUUGACAAGCUACUCUUAGGACUACUAUGAACACCAAUAUUUAUAUGAUCUUAAAGACCUUGACAUUUUCCUUUAGGAUGGCUAAGGGGAUUUCAAAGAUUAUAAGGCGUUCAUAUGGAAGUUAAAGGUUCUUCAAGUUCUUCUGUCAAAAAGAAUAAGAAGAACACCAAAUGAGGAAAGUUCAAGGGAAAGAAUAAAAAAGCAAACUAAAGGGUAAGUGAUUCCUUUAUGACCUUUUAAGACAGUAGAAAAGGAAUGCCUAGUUUAGCUAAAGGAAAAAAAAAAGUAUACAUCAUUUUCUCCUUGUUGAAUAUUUAAAGGUGGAUUUCACCAUUUAUGGUGGAUAGAUUCCAAACUUACUGUUUAUAAGUCCUUAUAGGAUAUUCAACAAAUGUGAAGGUUAAAUGAUGUGAUUAUAUAUUCUUUUAUAUGUAUUCCAUUAUCACUUUGUCAAGUGAUGAGAAUAGUCAAAUCUCAAGAUUGAACCUAGUACUAAUUAAACAUUUGGUAUCUAAACCUAGGUCAUAUUAAUCUAAAUAGGAUCCAAAGACUGGUAAAGUUUGAACUUUUUUUAUUCAAGAAGAUCUUCCAAUCUAUAAAUCAUGUAUAAAUGGUAAAAUGGCGAAGAGGAUUAGAGCUAAGGAAUGUUUGGAGUCAGUGCAUACUAACAUGUAUAUAACUUUUAGUAUCUAUGCAUGGGAAAGGUAUGAGUAUUUCAUCACUUUCAAUGACAAUUAUUCUAGGUUUGGAUAAGUACAUAGGAAAUCUGAUACCUUGGAUACAUUCAUUGAAUUUAAGGCGGGAUCAAUAAACUAUUGGGUAUACAUACCAAGUCAUUUCAAUUAGAUCAAAGUGAUAUGUCUAAUAAGUUUGAUUCUUUUUGUUGGAGCAUAGGAUUAUUUUCCCAGAUUAUUUUAGAGUUAUGUCUUACUGAUUAUGUAAUACUUCUUUUUCUUAAGAGGUAUAUCAAUUUAUAGGAUAUCUAAGCAAUUUUUGGGUUAUCAUAUUUAUAGUCAAGAUCAUUAGAAGAUAUUUUUUUUACACAAAUGUUAGAUUUUAUAUAAAGACUAUAUGAUAAGGAAUAAAACAAAGAGUGAUAUAGAUUGGCAAAUAUAUUAGAAAAUAGUCCCAUAUUUCAUAAUAUACUAUGGAUUUAGAGGGUAAGAAAUAUACCAUUCCUAUGGUUUCUAGUACACCAGUACCUCAGCAU